Molecule: ribosomal RNA, 253 nt
Filed under: uncultured bacterium
Lineage: Bacteria
Description: partial 16S ribosomal RNA
Rfam family: Bacterial small subunit ribosomal RNA
Source: RNAcentral
UACGGAGGGGGCUAGCGUUGCUCGGAAUUACUGGGCGUAAAGCGCACGUAGGCGGACUGUCAAGUCAGGGGUGAAAUCCCGGGGCUCAGCCUCGGAACUGCCUCUGAUACUGUCAGUCUAGAGUCCGGAAGAGGUGGGUGGAAUUCCUAGUGUAGAGGUGAAAUUCGCAGAUAUUAGGAAGAACACCGGUGGCGAAGGCGGCCCACUGGUCCGGAACUGACGCUGAGGUGCGAAAGCGUGGGGAGCAAACAGG